RNAcentral lists this ribosomal RNA (441 nucleotides) under uncultured bacterium. RNAcentral describes it as "partial 16S ribosomal RNA". It matches the Rfam family "Bacterial small subunit ribosomal RNA", at positions 338 to 795 of the family's 1533-position model. The record is from RNAcentral.
CCUACGGGUGGCAGCAGUGGGGGAUAUUGCACAAUGGGGGGAACCCUGAUGCAGCGACGCCGCGUGGGUGAAGGAGCGUUUCGGCGCGUAAAGCCCUAUCGGCAGGGAAGAAGGAGGACGGUACCUGACUAAGAAGCCCCGGCUAACUACGUGCCAGCAGCCGCGGUAAUACGUAGGGGGCAAGCGUUAUCCGGAUUUACUGGGUGUAAAGGGGGCGCAGACGGCAGCGCAAGCCAGGAGUGAAAGCCCGGGGCCCAACCCCGGGACUGCUCUUGGAACUGCGCGGCUGGAGUGCAGGAGGGGCAGGCGGAAUUCCUGGUGUAGCGGUGAAAUGCGUAGAUAUCGCGCAGAACCCCGAUUGCGAAGGCAGCGUGCCGUGCCGCCACUGACGCUGAGGCACGAAAGCGCGGGGAUCGAACAGGAUUAGAUACCCUGGUAGUC